RNAcentral lists this transfer RNA (92 nucleotides) under Pantanalinema sp. GBBB05. Its description in RNAcentral is "tRNA-Trp". It matches the Rfam family "tRNA". From Rfam's summary of the family: Transfer RNA (tRNA) molecules are approximately 80 nucleotides in length. Their secondary structure includes four short double-helical elements and three loops (D, anti-codon, and T loops). Further hydrogen bonds mediate the characteristic L-shaped molecular structure. tRNAs have two regions of fundamental functional importance: the anti-codon, which is responsible for specific mRNA codon recognition, and the 3' end, to which the tRNAs corresponding amino acid is attached (by aminoacyl-tRNA synthetases). tRNAs cope with the degeneracy of the genetic code in two manners: having more than one tRNA (with a specific anti-codon) for a particular amino acid; and 'wobble' base-pairing, i.e. permitting non-standard base-pairing at the 3rd anti-codon position. Lineage: Bacteria; Bacillati; Cyanobacteriota; Cyanophyceae; Leptolyngbyales; Leptolyngbyaceae. The record is from RNAcentral.
GCACAGAUGGUGUAACGGCAGCACAAGGGUCUCCAAAGCCUUUUGUCCGGGUACCGCUACGCGGAAGCAAGCUACAAAUCCUGGUCUGUGCG